This 760-nucleotide ribosomal RNA is filed under the name uncultured bacterium. Its description in RNAcentral is "bacterial SSU rRNA". It matches the Rfam family "Bacterial small subunit ribosomal RNA", at positions 28 to 775 of the family's 1533-position model. The record is from RNAcentral.
AUUGAACGCUGGCGGCAGGCUUAACACAUGCAAGUCGGACGGUAACAGGGAGGAAGCUUGCUUUCUUUGCUGACGAGUGGCGGACGGGUGAGUAAUGCUUGGGAAUCUGUUUUAUGGAGGGGGAUAACUACGGGAAACUGUAGCUAAUACCGCGUAAUAUCGAGAGAUUAAAGUGUGGGACCGUAAGGCCACAUGCCAUAGAGUGAGCCCAAGUGGGAUUAGGUAGUUGGUGGGGUAAAGGCCUACCAAGCCGUCGAUCUCUAGCUGGUCUGAGAGGAUGACCAGCCACACUGGGACUGAGACACGGCCCAGACUCCUACGGGAGGCAGCAGUGGGGAAUAUUGCACAAUGGGCGCAAGCCUGAUGCAGCCAUGCCGCGUGAAUGAAGAAGGCCUUCGGGUUGUAAAGUUCUUUCGGUGGUGAGGAAGGUUGUAAUGUUAAUAGCAUUAUAAUUUGACGUUAGCCACAGAAGAAGCACCGGCUAACUCCGUGCCAGCAGCCGCGGUAAUACGGAGGGUGCGAGCGUUAAUCGGAAUAACUGGGCGUAAAGGGCACGCAGGCGGAUACUUAAGUGAGGUGUGAAAGCCCUGGGCUUAACCUAGGAAUUGCAUUUCAUACUGGGUAUCUAGAGUAUUUUAGGGAGGGGUAGAAUUCCACGUGUAGCGGUGAAAUGCGUAGAGAUGUGGAGGAAUACCGAAGGCGAAGGCAGCCCCUUGGGGGAAUACUGACGCUCAUGUGCGAAAGCGUGGGGAGCAACAGG